RNAcentral lists this long non-coding RNA (576 nucleotides) under Mytilus galloprovincialis (Mediterranean mussel). The record is from RNAcentral. Lineage: Eukaryota; Metazoa; Mollusca; Bivalvia; Mytilida; Mytilidae.
GCGAUAUGUUUUUUAUUUGUUCCAAAUUUCUGGUCCCAUAAUUUCAUUAAUUCUAACACACAUUCAAAAUAUAUACUAUCAUACUGCAACUACUUUUUAUAACUAAUUUAUUUUUUACAAUUCAUUGAAAUAUCUAAUUGGACAGUGUAUCUUGUACUUCAAAUGUUAAUCUCAAUAUAGCAUUAUAUAAAGCAACCCACAAUAUUUUUUCCCUCCAUAACUUAAAACAUGAUCCUUCCGUAGAACAUGAGUUAUCUCCCCUAGUUUUUCAUUAAACUGUAUAUUUCAGUGCAAAUAAUUGAAGAGUAAAUGUUUAUGCUAAGCAAACUCCUAAAGUUCUUUCCAUUUUGUAAAACCUUCCAAUGAUAUAAAUAACAUAAGAGGUUAAUGAGGAUUUGCAUACAACCUUAAUCAAUGAUAAAUACUGCACACCCGGUUAAAGAUCUGACUUAAAAUAGUAUCAGUAGAGUAGCUUCAGAGAAGUUGAAGAGAGAUUUAACAGAAAUUCAAAAUUAAUAGUGAUCCAUGUGUUAUAUAGACAACUAAUCUUUUAGAAAAGGGAAACAAAUGAAAAAG